UACGUAGGGUGCAAGCGUUGUUCGGAAUCAUUGGGCGUAAAGCGCGUGUAGGCGGUAAGCUAAGUUUGGUGUGAAAGCCCGGGGCUUAACCUCGGAAGGGCACUGGAUACUGGCUUACUAGAGGACGGGAGAGGAUGGUGGAAUUCCUGGUGUAGGGGUGAAAUCCGUAGAUAUCAGGAGGAACAUCUGUAGCGAAGGAGGCCAUCGGGUCCGUUUCUGACGAUGAGACGCGAAAGCGUGGGUAGCAAACAGG
RNAcentral lists this ribosomal RNA (253 nucleotides) under uncultured bacterium. Its description in RNAcentral is "partial 16S ribosomal RNA". It matches the Rfam family "Bacterial small subunit ribosomal RNA", at positions 524 to 776 of the family's 1533-position model. The record is from RNAcentral.